Molecule: ribosomal RNA, 253 nt
Filed under: uncultured bacterium
Lineage: Bacteria
Description: partial 16S ribosomal RNA
Rfam family: Bacterial small subunit ribosomal RNA
Source: RNAcentral
GCAAGUCAAGGGGAACAGUUCUUCGUAACUUAGUACACUGGCGCACGGGUGAGUAACGCGUGAGGAAUCUACCUUUCAGUUUGGGACAACAUUCCGAAAGGGAUGCUAAUACCGGAUAAUACUGCAAUCCGCAUGUUUUGUAGGGAAAGGCGGGGUAACCUGUCGCUUUUAGAUGAUCUCGCGUAUCAUUAGAUAGUUGGUGAGGUAACGGCUCACCAAGGCGACGAUGCGUAGCCGGCCUGAGAGGGUGGCC